RNAcentral lists this ribosomal RNA (320 nucleotides) under uncultured Prevotella sp. RNAcentral's name for it is "bacterial SSU rRNA". It matches the Rfam family "Bacterial small subunit ribosomal RNA", at positions 28 to 339 of the family's 1533-position model. Lineage: Bacteria; Pseudomonadati; Bacteroidota; Bacteroidia; Bacteroidales; Prevotellaceae. The record is from RNAcentral.
GAUGAACGCUAGCUACAGGCUUAACACAUGCAAGUCGAGGGGUAACAGGAGGAAAGCUUGCUUUUCUUGCUGACGACCGGCGCACGGGUGAGUAACGCGUAUCCAACCUGGCCCAUAGUAGGGAAUAGCCCGGCGAAAGUCGGAUUAAUGCCCUAUGUUCUCCUUUGAUGGCAUCUGACGAGGAGCAAAGAUUCAUCGCUAUGGGAUGGGGAUGCGUCUGAUUAGGUUGUUGGCGGGGUAACGGCCCACCAAGCCAUCGAUCAGUAGGGGUUCUGAGAGGAAGGUCCCCCACAUUGGUACUGAGACACGGACCAAACUCC